This 262-nucleotide long non-coding RNA is filed under the name Cyanistes caeruleus (blue tit). RNAcentral's name for it is "lncRNA (ENSCCEG00000000987.1)". Lineage: Eukaryota; Metazoa; Chordata; Aves; Passeriformes; Paridae. The record is from RNAcentral.
CCUGGCUCCGUGCUCCAGGUGCUGCUGUGCACAGAUCUCCACAUCCCAGGGAAGCUGUGAGACAGAAGGAACAGGGACUCAGCUGCUGCUGUGUCCCACUGAGCUCUGGCUGAAUUCUAAUCUGCUACCAUUAGAUUCACAGCCUACAGACUUGGCCUUCGACUGGCUCUUCAAAUAGAAGUUAUUUGCAUGUUUCUUCCAUUUUCACUCUGCUGCAGAACCAUCUGGCCACAGGCUGACCUUACCUGAACUUAAUUCCAGG